ACUAUUUCUCAAUUUAAAGAGAAAUUCAUUUUCAUAGAAAUCAAUAUAAUUUGAUUCUAUGAUCACUUUAGCAUAUAGGUCAUAAAACCUAUAAGCUUUACGGUCAAUUAUAUACUCAAUGAGUACACAUGCAUAGGCUCUACUAGUGAGUUUAACUCUCUUGGUUUCUGAAAUUUAAACAUAGACCAGAUAAACCCAAGUUCUAAAAUAAGACAAAUUAGAUUGUCUUUUCUUCAAAAUUUCAUAAAUAGAANNNNNNNNNNNNNNNNNNNGGGCACUCUACUUAGCACAAAACAAUCAAUUAAUAAAAUUUCUCACACUAAUAUAAUGAGAUGCAAUGCCGAAAUUAAGCAUGACUGUAACAACUGGCUCGGUAAAGGUUCUAUAAUUUUUUAUUUUAUUUUAUUUUUUUAAACUUUACCGUUCAUCUCAAAAGAGUAAGCAGUUGUUUCAUGAUAAUUUCAUACUCAUUGAAAAUGUGGGAAUCAUACUUUUGUGCCUCUAAAAUCAUUUGAUUUUCUCAUUGAAUUAUUUUUCAAUUUCAGUUCCAUAUAAUUGGAACAUGUCAAAAACAUCACUCACUUUUAUUUUUUCAUAAGAUGUAUGAAAAUAUAACUUGAACAGUCAUCAAUAAAAGUGAUGAUUUUUUCUGUUUCUAAUCAAAAUACCAUCUAUCUGAUUCUUGAAUAAUUUGCCGGUUGGCUUCAGACUUGUGAAUUUCUUUCUAGUGUUGUUGUUCAAGACAACAAGCACUUCAUUUUUCUGAUUUUGCUUUCUAGCUUCUUCUUCAAAACGAAGAUAUCUUAUCAGAAAUUCGAGGGAAUAUAGUUUAGCCAUUUUAUCCUUAUAGCUUGUUCAAUUUUUUUUUUAAAGUAAAAUUGGAAUAUCUUUCUUCAAAACAAUAGCAACUCUGUUGUUAUUAUAAAAGCA
RNAcentral lists this long non-coding RNA (930 nucleotides) under Trifolium pratense (red clover). RNAcentral describes it as "long non-coding RNA (TPRA_LNC004595)". The record is from RNAcentral. Lineage: Eukaryota; Viridiplantae; Streptophyta; Magnoliopsida; Fabales; Fabaceae.